UACGAGGGAUUUGGAAUAUCGGAGGCAUCGGGUGCGUGCCCGGGGGGAGAAGAGAAGAUUCUCCUACCGCAUAGAAUUUGUAUGCGCGCGGGCGUUAGAUGCCAUCUUAUUCGAAAGCUAAAGCGGGUCACCAGCGCAGCACGCGCAGUCUGACGCUCGGAGUUGUCGAGACUUGGCGGCGACGAUUUAUAAAUAGCGUAGAGGGAUAAGGGGAGAGAGAAGAAACAUCAAGUACAGGUUUGAAAAGGAGCGAGUGAAGGCGAACCGAGACCUGGGGAAAUUUAGUAAAGAGAAGAGCUAAGGGCCUUCUUCUAGUGAAGUCCUUCCAAGCAGGCUUGGUCAAUUGGCAUAUAGCAAAUCUAGAAAUCCAAGACCAGAUCCGGAGAAAUUCUGGGAUUCAUGCCAAGCAAGACGAAUUUAGAGGCGUUCAAUUGGUUGAUACUGCAAUCUUUUCCAGAGCGAGAGGCAUCUUGUAAUAGGCGCGCCCAGUGUUGGUUACAUGAGCCAGGACACCGCAAACUGGAGGUUUGUCUGCCAUGGAGAAAUCCAAGGACCGCGACUUCAACCUGACCUCUUAAGCACCGCUGCCAAGCAAGGUAACACAGUGUUCCAAGAACUUACGAACUUAUGCUUUGCUGUUCUCGACUGUACGACUUGAACUCCCUCUAAUUCUUCUCCCGUGGAUCAAUAGGUGUAAGGACUUUCUUCACAACUCACGUAGGGGUUAUUUUAAAAUGUCUAUGAGCAUAUAUAAAUGUCCAUCUCUUUCUGUAUCCAUCCGUGGCCAUCCAUCCAAGUGCUGGUUGCGAAUUUUUUCCCAAUAGGGGGAGGCAAGUUUUAUCCAUCCAAUUUGUCAGGACAUGAUGGACAAAAGAAAAUUGUUAUUACGAUGCUU
Non-coding RNA from Elaeis guineensis (African oil palm), 895 nucleotides. NCBI's taxonomy places the organism in Eukaryota, Viridiplantae, Streptophyta, Magnoliopsida, Arecales, Arecaceae. The record is from RefSeq and is a predicted model, not a curated record.